This is a long non-coding RNA of Pangasianodon hypophthalmus (striped catfish), 1597 nucleotides long. RefSeq lists it as uncharacterized. The record is from RefSeq and is a predicted model, not a curated record. Lineage: Eukaryota; Metazoa; Chordata; Actinopteri; Siluriformes; Pangasiidae. The transcript is spliced from 2 exons.
GGAGUCGACAGCUAAUUACGUCAUCACUAACCUGCAGGCUGCGCUAGUCACUAGCGAGUGGCGCUGCGAGACAAUAAUAAAUAAAAAGACUGGGGCUGCGGUAAAAUAAUAAUAAUAAUAAUAAUAAUAAUAAAAAAGGUGGGGCUGUGGUAAUAUAAUAAAUAAAAAGAGUGGGGUUGCUGUGCGUGCAGGCAGUUUAGAACAACAUCCGUAUUUCAACCCAGUGGCAUGACAACACCGGCCCUCGCGGUCAAUAAACAGACCAGGAAUCCUCCCGGUGCUCCGAUCAGCCAACCCGGGCCUGGAGUGAAGACAGCUUACACUGGAUUUUAAGCUAGAACAGUUGCAGGAAACCUUGGGCUCUCUACUUUUUGAAAACUACUUAACUCUGGAAUAUUGUGCCCAGACUUUGAGGAGAGCAUCACCUGCUGGGAAUGAAGGAACACUGCAACCUUGCUUUAUGUAACUAAGGAUUAAGUGUCAAGAGCAGCAUACGCAUACACUCACUGAUCACUUUAUUAGGAACACCAUACUAAUACUGGGUAGGACUCCUCUUUGCUCUCAGAACAGCCUCAGUUCUUCAUGGCAUGGAUUCCACAACGUGUUGGAAACAUCUGGUCCAUGUUGACAUGAUCGCAAAAUAUUGCAGAUCUGUCAGCUGCACGUUGAUGUUGCAAAUCUCCCAUUCUACCACAUCCCAAAGAUGCUCUGCUGGAAUCAGAUCUGGUGACUGGGGAGGCCACUGAAGUAAGCAGCUACAGGGCGCUCUAUUUAAACAGCAUUAUUUAGAAACAAUUUACCUGUCAGGGAGGAGAAAUGUAAUUUAGGUAUUUGUACACUUUUAUCUGUUUGUAUUCCACAGUAAAGGCUCCUCAGCACCACUCACAGUAGGAUAGAGAGCUGGAAAAGCUAGAAAAAUUACACAGAUUAUACCAUGACCCAAACAAGUCGGCAAACUGAAGCAAGACCAGAUAUUUUUCAUUUCUUUUAAUUUAUGUAUCUGCCUUUCCCAGUUGUCAUAUUGGAAAUAAUUCCACAGUCCCUUAUAUAAGCAAUUAAAGCAGGAAAUAUCAGACUAUAAAGUGCCACAGGCCGGAAGUGAAUUUACAUACAAAUUUAAUUAGGGUAAAACUGCACUCCACAAUGCUGUUAAAUUCUCCUUUCUGUUUGGUCAGAAAGUAUUUAUCAAUUUUCUCUAACAGCAGCUCUGAAAAUAAUGCCAGCUGUAAGACGAAUCACAGGUUUAUAUUAACACACUCAUUCGUUUCUACAGUAACAACUUACACAGGGACUUAUCUGGUGGAUGCUGCACAUAAUGAAUUUAUAAAAUGUAUGUAAUCCGUGUUCUGGUGACGAUAUCUGUAAGGAAACGUUCAUUUAACAUUUAGGGAGUCUCUAGUAUCAGCUCUUUGUAACAGUCAGAAAUAAAGCUGUAAAUUUAAGUUUUCCCAUAUGGGAAUGUCAAGCAGUGAACUGUCUUAUUAACAUCUAGUGAAAGUGAGGGGACGAAUGUUUUGUAGUUACCAUAUUGUAUGUGGAAUCUAACUCGUUUUAUAGUCUUUCCACACGAUUAAAUGCCACUAUAAACUAACAGAAA